UGGGGGAUAUUGCACAAUGGAGGAAACUCUGAUGCAGCAACGCCGCGUGAGGGAAGACGGUUUUCGGAUUGUAAACCUCUGUCCUUGGUGAAGAUAAUGACGGUAGCCAAGGAGGAAGCUCCGGCUAACUACGUGCCAGCAGCCGCGGUAAUACGUAGGGAGCAAGCGUUGUCCGGAUUUACUGGGUGUAAAGGGUGCGUAGGCGGCACUGCAAGUCAGGCGUGAAAGCCGGAGGCUUAACCUCCGAAUUGCGUUUGAAACUGUGGUGCUUGAGUGAAGUAGAGGUAGGCGGAAUUCCCGGUGUAGCGGUGAAAUGCGUAGAGAUCGGGAGGAACACCAGUGGCGAAGGCGGCCUACUGGGCUUUAACUGACGCUGAGGCACGAA
This 385-nucleotide ribosomal RNA is filed under the name uncultured bacterium. RNAcentral describes it as "bacterial SSU rRNA". It matches the Rfam family "Bacterial small subunit ribosomal RNA", at positions 355 to 757 of the family's 1533-position model. The record is from RNAcentral.